UGUUUUCCAUUCCACCAUAGAAAUUACAUCAAAUACAAGAAAAGAUCCAGGAAGUAACAAAAGAAACAGAUGCCAAACUGAUGAAGCAUAUUCAAAGCACAAAUUAUACAGAGGAAGUGACAAAGUUUUACUUAAGUUUCGAAAGAAGACGCUAAAGAAGAAGUUUCUGGUAAUAAAGCAAUUUUUUAUUUGAAUUUAUAAAGAAAUAUUGUUGCUAAGAAUUUCAUAUAUAUUGUCAACAGACAAAUACUACAGCCAAAGCAAACUAAGCGGUUUAUGGAGUAAGGUUUGGCAGACGCAGAGAUACUAUUGAAGGUAAGAGUUCGUACUUUUAUAAUAUCCUAAUCAUUAAUUUAUUGAUGAAAUGUUUUAACAUAAGUAUAACAUAAGUUACGUUAUAAUCUUUACUUUAAUGUUUUAAUCUUAAAUUUCUUAACAUAUGGAUGAAAUGAUUUUACUUACCUUAUGUUCAAAUCUUUAGAAUUUCUUGAUAUCUGGUCGCAUGUAAUGUUGAAUCUGUGUUGAACAUGUGGCACAUCUCUUUUGUGUUUGGACUCCAUAUCGAUGACAUACCAUUGGUCAUGAUGAAUAAUAGAGAAAACAAAAUAAAGACUUAGAUCAAACUAAUACAAACUAACCUAUAGCAUAACAUUGAUUUAAGCAUUACUUUUCAGUAGAAUAGAUAACAUAAGUACAUAUGUAGAGCUAAACAAGUAUACCACAUAAGUAUAAAAAAUAGUAAAAUAGUUUUAAAAAUAUUUUAUGCAUGUUCCACAUUUAAGCCUAUGUUAAGAUUUACUUAUAUUUCUCACUCAUAUAAAGAUUUAAAAUAUAAAAUCUGUAAAUAAAAUUUUAGAUAGAUCUAUGAUAUAGAUCUAAAAAUAAAGAUAGAUAUAUGAUAUAGAUCUAAAAAUAACUUAUACUUCAAGACCUAUAGAAACAAAA
RNAcentral lists this long non-coding RNA (945 nucleotides) under Salvia miltiorrhiza (redroot sage). RNAcentral describes it as "long non-coding RNA (SMIL_LNC011660)". The record is from RNAcentral. Lineage: Eukaryota; Viridiplantae; Streptophyta; Magnoliopsida; Lamiales; Lamiaceae.